UUUUUUUCUUAAAAAAUGUUCUUCGUCAAAUUUGUGAUCCACUCCCAGAAUUUAACUCUGAGGCAUUAGAUAAGGAUUGGCACACUGGUCAGCUUCAGUGUCAUGAUAACCUUGUUAUGCAAUUCUCCUGCUGGGAAGCGCGUUAUAGUGUAUAGUGGUUUGCAGCUUAAUUUAUCUAGGCCAAAUUUUGAAUUCUGGUAAACAAGAUGUGCGCGCUUACUCCUUGCCGAUUUGAAUGAGAAAACUUUGCAUCUUAUAAACCACAAAAAUAACCUGGGGAUUUAUUAACUCUGAAUGCAUGGUGUUAGUUCCAUCAUCCGUUUGAAUUCCCACAUUCAAAAGACCCGCCUUUGGUGAAGGCAAAGGUGCCGUGAUAUUCUUUCUGAGGGGCGGAUUCCUUGUCAGCGUUUUCAGUGUAUGUGAUUCUAAAGUCUAACUCUGUUCGACCUAUACAGUGAACAUAGGAUUUCUGUGAUUCUGUUCUUUUAAAAUUCAGUGAAUGGAUUAGACGCCGUUUUCACCCUUUAAACCCGCUGAUUUGAAAGAAAAUAAGUUAAACUUGUACCGAUAAUGGAACUUAAAUGUGAUUUACAUAUUGAAUAUGGGUUAGUA
Long non-coding RNA from Saccostrea cuccullata (small rock oyster), 612 nucleotides. RefSeq lists it as uncharacterized. The transcript is spliced from 3 exons. The record is from RefSeq and is a predicted model, not a curated record. NCBI's taxonomy places the organism in Eukaryota, Metazoa, Mollusca, Bivalvia, Ostreida, Ostreidae.